Molecule: small RNA, 204 nt
Filed under: Staphylococcus aureus
Lineage: Bacteria; Bacillati; Bacillota; Bacilli; Caryophanales; Staphylococcaceae
Description: Transcript
Source: RNAcentral
AUCAAUGGUUAAAGUUAUUGAUGACUACCAUAUACCUAUAAUUACAAUUACUAGUACAAGGGAUAAUCCCGUAGCACAGGCAUCAAAUAUUGUUUUAACUUAUGGGAAAACUGAUGAAAAUGAGAUGCAUAUGGGAGCAACAACUUCAUUAUUUGCUCAAAUGUUCACUAUUGAUAUUUUAUAUUAUCGUUAUGUUGCAUUAAA